This is a long non-coding RNA of Rhagoletis zephyria (snowberry fruit fly), 419 nucleotides long. RefSeq lists it as uncharacterized. The record is from RefSeq and is a predicted model, not a curated record. NCBI's taxonomy places the organism in Eukaryota, Metazoa, Arthropoda, Insecta, Diptera, Tephritidae.
GCGCGCCAACGUUCAAGCCAGUUUCUGGCGCCGACACUUAACAUGGUCAGUUAAAUCAGUAACGAUUCAGAGCGCGGCAAGUGAGCAACACAAGUUUCGCAAAAACCAUUGAUACGCAGGCGCAAAGUAUUAAACGAGAGCGGUCGGACAAUCGGACAAGUGAAAGAGUGGCGAAGCAAAUCAUUGUGCCACCAGUAGUCGUGCAAAUAUUAAUGUGGGUGCAUACACACACACACACACACAUACGCACACACAUACGCACGCAUUAGGUCACUGUCAUACAACAAAGCCCAAACGAAGCAUUGACCACAAAAAAUAUAUAACAGAAAUAAAUUUUCGAUGCUGAAGAAAUCAUAAAGGCAAAGUGUGUGCAAAAGCCGUAGCGAGUGUUGAAUGUCAAACAAUACUAAGUAGGCAAA